RNAcentral lists this ribosomal RNA (3572 nucleotides) under Prunus yedoensis var. nudiflora. Its description in RNAcentral is "eukaryotic LSU rRNA". The stretch from base 369 to 3572 matches the Rfam family "Eukaryotic large subunit ribosomal RNA". Lineage: Eukaryota; Viridiplantae; Streptophyta; Magnoliopsida; Rosales; Rosaceae. The record is from RNAcentral.
ACGACUCUCAACAACGGAUAUCUCGGCUCUCACAUGGAUGAAGAACAUAGCGAAAUGGGAUCCUUGGUGUGAAUUGCAGAAUCCCGUGAACCAUCGAGUCUUUGAACGCAAGUUGUGCCCGAAGCCAAUAGGAAGAGGGCACGCAUGCCUGGGCAUUACACGUUGUUGUCCCCCAACUACUCCCUCAGGAUUGCAGGGGGUAGAUGAUGGCCUCCUAUAAUCUCCGUUGUGCAGUUGGCAUAAAUACGAAGUCCUCGGCUACGCACGCUACGACAAUUAGUGGCUGCGAAACCUCAAUUGCCUGUCGUGUGCGGUUGUCGGGCAUCAAGGGUUCGAAAAAAUGCUUGGCUCCGGCUUAGCUUUCAAUGCAACCCCAGGUUAGGAGGGGUUACCUGCGGAGGAAAAGAAACUUAUUAAGAUUUCCCUAGUAACGGGGAUCGAAUUAGGAAUAGCCUAGCUUGAAAAUCAGCGCCCAUGGUGUCCGAAUUGUAGUAUGUAGAAGCGUCAUCAGCGGUGAACUGGACCCAAGUCCACUGGAAGGUGGUGCUGGAGAGGGUGAGAGCCCCGUUGUGUUCAGACCAUGUCGUACCACGAAGCAUUGUCGGCGAGUCUGGUUGUUUGGGAAUGCAGCCCUAAUCGGGCAGUAAAUUUUGUCGAAGGCUAAAUACGAGCGAGUGACCGAUAGCAAAGAAGUACCGCGAGAGAAAGAUGAAAAAGGCUUUGAAAAAAAAGUCAAAGAGUACUUGAAAUUGUUGGGAGAGAAGGGUAUGGGGGGUUGGCGAUUCGCCCCAAUAAGAUGUGGAACGGUCACAAGCUAGUCCGCCAAUCGGCUUGGGCCGUUAACCGAUGCAGAUUGCGGCGGCGACCAAAGCCCAUGUUGCUAAUAUACCCACAUAGACUCCUUCGACGCAUCUGUGUGCUCUUAACAUCAGCCUAUGGGCUUCUUAUUCGGCCCUUCUUGAAACACAUACCAAUAAGUCUGACAUGUGAGCGAGUCAAUAAGCGAUUAAACUCGUAAGGCAUAAGGAAGUUGAUUGGCGGGAUUCCCUUGAGGGUUGCAUCACCGACCGACCUUGAUCUUUUGAGAGGAAACUCUGUUGAACUAUGCAUGAGCGGGUCGAAGCCAGAGGAAACUCUGGCGAAGGCCCACGACGAUACUAACGUGCAAAUCGUUAGUCUGAUUUUGGUAUAGGGGCGAAAGACUAAUCAAAACGUCAAGUAGUUGGCUCCCUCCAAAGUUUCCCUCAGGAUAGUUGGAGCCCAUGAACGAGUUCUAUCAAGUAAAACCAAUGAUUAAAGGCAUCGGGGACGCAACGCAUAAGACCUAUUCUCAAACUUUAUUUAGGUAAGAUGGAGCGGCUGCUUUGUUGAGCGGCGCCAUGGAAUCAAGAGCUCCAAAUGGGCCAUUUUCGAAAAGCAGAAUUGGCGAUGCGGGAUGAGUCGGAAGUGGGGUUACAGUGUCCAACUGCGCGCUAAUCUAGAACCCACAAAGGGUGUUGGUCGAUUAAGACAGCAGGACGAUGGUCAUGGAAGUCGAAAUUUGCUAAAGAGUGUGUAACAACUCACUUGUUGAAUCAAUUAGCCCUAAAAAUAGAUGGCGCUUAAGCGCGCAACCUACCAUGUCAUCAGGGCAAGUGCCAAGCCCCGAUGAGUAGGAGGGUGUAGUGGUCACUGCAAAACCUAGGGCGUGAACCCUAGCGGAGCAACCUUCGGUGCAGAUCUUGGUGGUAGUAGCAAAUAUUCAAAUGAGAACUUUAAAGGCUGAAGAGGGAAAAGGUUCCAUGUGAACGACACUUGCUCAUGGGUUUGUCGAUCCUAAGAGACGGGGGAAGCCCAUCUGAUAGCGCGUCUAGCAAGAACUUCAAAAUGGAAUUGGGUUAAAAUUCUUGGAUCGGGACGUGGUGGUUGACGGCAACGUCAAAAAGUCCAAAGACGUCAGCGGGGGCCUCGGGAAGAGUUAUCAUUUCUUUUUAACACCCUGGCCACCCUGGAAACGGCUCAACUGGAGUUAUGGUCCAACGGCUGGAAUAAGAACGCAUGUCGCGUGGUGUCCGGUGCGCUCCCGACGACCUUUGAAAAUUCGGAGCAUAAAAUGCCAUACUCAGUACCGCAUCAGAUCUCCAAGGUGAACAACCUUUAGUCGAUGCAACAAUGUAGGCAAGGGAAGUCGGUAAAAGGAUUGGCUUUGAGGGCUGGGCACAGGGUCCCAGUCCUUAACUCAUCGGCUAUAGGUGGACUACUCGAGCUGCUCCCCUGUCUAGAGUAAGUCAUUGCGUGCUGGCUGGGGGACGAACUGGGAGCGUUCCUUCAGGGACUUUUCCCCAGGCUUCGAACAGCCACCUCAAAACUUAUACGGACAAGGGGAAUCCAACUGUUUAAUUAAAACAAAGCAUUGCGAUGGUCCAUGCGAAUGCUAAUGCAAUGUGAUUUCUGCCUAGUGCUCUGAAAUUCAAAGUGAAGAAAUUCAACCAAGUGCGGGUAAAUGACAGGAGUAACUAUGACUCUCUUAAUGUAGCCAAAUGCCUAGUCAUCUAAUUAGUGAUGCGCAUGAAUGGAUUAACGAGAUUCCCACUGCCCCUGUCUACUAUCUAGUGAAACCACAGCCAAGGGAAUGGGCUUAGCAGAAUCAGCGGGGAAAGAAGACCCUGUUAAGCUUGACUCUAGUCUGACUUUGUGAAAUGACUUGAGAUGUGUAGUAUAAGUGAGAGCUUUGGCAAAACUGAAAUACCACUACUUUUAAUGUUAUUUUACUUUAACGAAGGCGUGUCAUCGCCCCUCUUUUUGGACCUAAGACUGGCCUCGCGUCGACCGAUCCGGGAGGAAGACAUUAUCAAGUAAGGAGUUUGGCUGGGUUAGCACAUCUGUGAAAAGAUAACGUAGGCGUCCUGAGAUGAGCUCAACGAGAACAAAAAUCUCGUGUGGAACAAAAGGGAAAAAACUCGUUUGAUUCUGAUUUCUAGUACGAAUACAACCCAUGAAAGCGUGGCCUAUUGAUCUUUUAGACCUUCAGAAUUUGAAGCUAAAGGUAUCAUAAAAGUUACCACAGGGAUAACUAGCUUGUGGCAGCUAAGCAUUCAUAGUGGUGUUGCUUUUAUAUCCUUCUAUGUCGGCUCUUUCUAUCAUUGUGAAGUAGAAUUCACCAAGUGUUGGAUUGUUCACCCACCAAUAGGGAACAUGAGUUAGGUUUAAACUGUCAUGAGACAAGUUAGUUUUACACUACUAAUGAUAGUGUUGCAAUAGUAAUUCAAACUAGUACGAGAGGAACCGUUGAUUCGCACAAUUGGUCAUCGUGCUUCUUUGAAAAGCCAGUUGCGUGAAGCUACUGUGCGUUGGAUUAUGACUAAACGCCUCUAAAUCAGAAUCUGGGCUAGAAGCGACGCAUGUGCCCACUGCCUGUUUGCUGACCCUCAGUAGGGGCUUUGGGUCCCCAAAGGCACAUGUCGUUAGUUAAGCCCUUGUGGUGGACGAGCUGCGAGGGCCGCCUUAAAUUACAAUUUCUACCGAGCGGUGGGUAGAAUCCUUUACAGACGACUUAAAUACGCGACGGGUUAUUGUAAGUGGGAGAGUGGCCU